AAGACUAAGCCAUGCAUGUCUAAGUCCAAGCUGUGUGUUGUGGGUGAAAGCUCGCACACGCGGCGAAACCGCGGACGGCUCAUUAAAUCAGUCGUGGUCCAAAUGGGCUAGUGUUAUCCUACUUGGAUAACUGUGGUAAUUCCAGAGCUAAUACAUGCAACUGAAAGUCCGAUCGGUUCCUUCGCGGGUUCUGUGACGGCUGCUUUUAUUAGACCAAACCGCUGAGGGGCGCUUGCCGCACGGCUUGCCGUCGCCGUAGACUCGUGUUAUGGUGACUCUGAAUAACACCACUUGACAAGCGCACGUAUCCAUUAGUUUGGGACGGCGCUGCCACUUUCGAGUGUCUGCCUUAUCAGCUAUGAAUCGUUCGUUAUGUGCGACCGAUGGCUUUGACGGGUAACGGGGAAUCAGGGUUCGAUUCCGGAGAGGCAGCCUGAGAAACGGCUACCACGUCUAAGGACGGCAGCAGGCACGCAAAUUACCCAAUCCCAGCYUCUGGGGGAGGUAGUGACGAAAUCUAACGAUGCGGGCGCUCCUUCUGGAGCCCCGCAAUCGGAAUGAGCAUUUUCUUUCUAAACACCCUGUUGAGAACCUACUGAAGGGCAAGUCUGGUGCCAGCAGCCGCGGUAAUUCCAGCUUCAGCAGCAUCUACUAAAGUUGCUGCGGUUAAAAGGCUCGCAGUUGAAUGUCAGUAUCAGGUGCAGCGAUGGUGGACGUUGGAGUUUGCCUGGACGGUGCGUGCCGACCUUCGCGGGAAGGUGCGCGCCUCCUUGCAAGUCUAUAGCUCCCGUCCGUGUCAAGCCUCCUCACCUGUGUACAAAGUGGAAUCUGGUGGUCGCGCUCUCGCGCUGGGGCCGGGCUCGGGGCGCUUGCGGGACGGUUCGGGCUCACGCUCGUUCCGCAACCCGCCUGCGUUUCCCACCGGCUUUUCUUGCGUUUGCGUGGCUGGUUUUCAAAGUCACCUUGAGUAAAUCAGAGUGCUCAAAGCAGUCGUA
Molecule: ribosomal RNA, 995 nt
Filed under: Amphilochida sp. NZTWB
Lineage: Eukaryota; Metazoa; Arthropoda; Malacostraca; Amphipoda
Description: SSU rRNA
Source: RNAcentral